ACUGAACGCUGGCGGCAUGCCUUACACAUGCAAGUCGAACGGCAGCGCGGACUUCGGUCUGGCGGCGAGUGGCGAACGGGUGAGUAAUACAUCGGAACGUACCCUGUUGUGGGGGAUAACUAGUCGAAAGAUUAGCUAAUACCGCAUACGACCUGAGGGUGAAAGUGGGGGACCGCAAGGCCUCACGCAGCAGGAGCGGCCGAUGUCUGAUUAGCUAGUUGGUGGGGUAAAGGCCCACCAAGGCGACGAUCAGUAGCUGGUCUGAGAGGACGAUCGGCCACACUGGGACUGGGACACGGCCCAGACUCAUACGGGAGGCGGCAGUGGGGAAGUUUGGACGAUGGGGGCAAGCCUGAUCCAGCAAUGCCGCGUGUGUGAAGCAGGCCUGCGGGUUGUAAAGCACUUUUGUCCGGGAAGAAAUCGCGCUGGUUAAUGCCGGGCGUGGAUGACGGUACCGGAAGAAUAAGCACCGGCUAACUACGUGCCAGCCGCCGCCGUAA
This 500-nucleotide ribosomal RNA is filed under the name uncultured bacterium. RNAcentral describes it as "partial 16S ribosomal RNA". It matches the Rfam family "Bacterial small subunit ribosomal RNA", at positions 30 to 523 of the family's 1533-position model. The record is from RNAcentral.